CCGCCGGCGGCCGCCCCCCCACCACAGGGUUUCUUUUUUUUGCGCCCGGGAAGAUUAGCAUAUCAAUAAGCGGAGGAAAAGAAACCAACAGGGAUUGCCCUAGUAACGGCGAGUGAAGCGGCAAAAGCUCAAAUUUGAAAUCUGGCCUCUAGGGGUCCGAGUUGUAAUUUGCAGAGGAUGCUUUUGGUAGAGCACUAUCCGAGUUCCCUGGAAUGGGACGCCACAGAGGGUGAGAGCCCCGUCUGGUUAGCUGCAAAGCCUCUAUAAAGCUCCUUCAACGAGUCGAGUAGUUUGGGAAUGCUGCUCAAAGUGGGAGGUAUAUGUCUUCUAAAGCUAAAUACCGGCUAGAGACCGAUAGCGCACAAGUAGAGUGAUCGAAAGAUGAAAAGCACUUUGAAAAGAGGGUUAAACAGUACGUGAAAUUGCUAAAAGGGAAGCACUUACAACUAGACGUGGGGGCGUGCAAUCACCUAGUAUUCGUACUAGGGCACUUAGGCGCCUCUAGGCUAGCAUUAGUUUGCUAUAGGGGAUAAAGACGCUAGGAACGUGGCCCCCCUCGGGGGGUGUUAUAGCCUAGCGUAUAAUGCCCUAUAGCAGACUAAGGUCCGCGCUCUGCAAGGAUGCUGGCAUAAUGGUUGUUAGUGACCCGUCUUGAAACACGGACCAAGGAGUCGUCCUCGUAUGCGAGUGUUUGGGUGUUAAACCCGUGCGCGGAAUGAAAGUAAACGUAGGUGAGAGCCCUCUAGGGCGCAUUACCGACCGAUCCUGAUGUUCUCGGAUGGAUUUGAGUAAGAGCAUACGGGGCCGGACCCGAAAGAAGGUGAACUAUGCCUGCGUAGGGUGAAGCCAGAGGAAACUCUGGUGGAGGCUCGCAUGCGGUUCUGACGUGCAAAUCGAUCGUCAAACGUGGGCAUGGGGGCGAAAGACUAAUCGAACUCUACGUGUU
Molecule: ribosomal RNA, 946 nt
Filed under: Ophiocordyceps myrmecophila
Lineage: Eukaryota; Fungi; Ascomycota; Sordariomycetes; Hypocreales; Ophiocordycipitaceae
Description: eukaryotic LSU rRNA
Rfam family: Eukaryotic large subunit ribosomal RNA
Source: RNAcentral